UAGAAUCAGGGUUGCAGGCUAGGGGCUCUUAGAGUCCUUCGUUCGCCCCACCCGGGGUUGGGUGUGGGAUAGUAGGGUUACCCGUAGAUGACUAGUAGGUCCCCUCUUGGUUGGUAAUAUGAUAGUUGUCGCUUGUUAUUGUCGCAUGCGACAGUUAUUAUGUUUCUUAUGUUUACAUAAUCAUUUACGUUAUUUCUGCAGGAUUACUUAUGCUGUGUUUUGUUAUUUUGUUUGGUCUUGCCUUGGUUACUAAUUUUGUCUUUGUUUUCCAAUGCAGCUUUUCAUN
RNAcentral lists this long non-coding RNA (286 nucleotides) under Nicotiana benthamiana. Its description in RNAcentral is "long non-coding RNA (NBEN_LNC035470)". Lineage: Eukaryota; Viridiplantae; Streptophyta; Magnoliopsida; Solanales; Solanaceae. The record is from RNAcentral.